GUAACCCUUUACCAGGUCUUGACAUCCGAUGCUUAUUUCUAGAGAUAGAAAGUUACUUCGGUACAUCGGUGACAGGUGGUGCAUGGUUGUCGUCAGCUCGUGUCGUGAGAUGUCGGGUUAAGUCCCGCAACGAGCGCAACCCCUAUUGUUAGUUGCCAUCAUUCAGUUGGGCACUCUAGCGAGACUGCCGGUAAUAAACCGGAGGAAGUGGGAUGACGUCAAAUCAUCAUGCCCCUUAUGACCUGGGCUACACACGUGCUACAAUGGUUGGUACAACGAGUUGCGAGUCGGUGACGGCGAGCUAAUCUCUUAAAGCCAAUCUCAGUUCGGAUUGUAGGCUGCAACUCGCCUACAUGAAGUCGGAAUCGCUAGUAAUCGCAGGUCAGCAUACUGCGGUGAAUACGUUCCCGGGUCUU
RNAcentral lists this ribosomal RNA (416 nucleotides) under uncultured Streptococcus sp. RNAcentral's name for it is "bacterial SSU rRNA". It matches the Rfam family "Bacterial small subunit ribosomal RNA", at positions 963 to 1382 of the family's 1533-position model. The record is from RNAcentral. Lineage: Bacteria; Bacillati; Bacillota; Bacilli; Lactobacillales; Streptococcaceae.